Molecule: long non-coding RNA, 368 nt
Organism: Lycium ferocissimum
Lineage: Eukaryota; Viridiplantae; Streptophyta; Magnoliopsida; Solanales; Solanaceae
Exons: 2
Source: RefSeq, a predicted model, not a curated record
UCCACACCCUUUGAUUCGGAUAUUUGUUUUCAUUUUCACUGUACAGGUGAUCCAAUAGUCGACGUUAGCUUGAAUCCAAGGCCAUAAACUUUCGAGAAUCGAGAUUUAAGGGCACAUUCCACUUGACCGAUGCUAAUCUAUUGUAUUCUGGAUCGGCCACUGCAAAUAAUAAGGGAAGCAAAGGCAGUUCACUGUGCUUCAAUUAGCACUUGCUGCCAAUCAAUGUGGGGGUAACAGAUACAAGACCAAUAAGGAAUAGGGUGGCUAUAGAGUUGAAGUCAUAAAGAUCACCAACUGAUUGUAACUCACCAAGAGCUAAUCCAGCCUGCAAAUAGCAAAAGGACAGUUCUUAGAUCUUGGUUAGUAAA